This 468-nucleotide ribosomal RNA is filed under the name uncultured bacterium. RNAcentral describes it as "partial 16S ribosomal RNA". It matches the Rfam family "Bacterial small subunit ribosomal RNA", at positions 28 to 507 of the family's 1533-position model. The record is from RNAcentral.
GACGAACGCUGGCGGCGUGCUUAACACAUGCAAGUCGAACGGAAGGGCCCUGCUUUUGUGGGGUGCUCGAGUGGCGAACGGGUGAGUAACACGUGAGUAACCUGCCCUUGACUUUGGGAUAACUUCAGGAAACUGGGGCUAAUACCGGAUAGGAGCUCCUGCUGCAUGGUGGGGGUUGGAAAGUUUCGGCGGUUGGGGAUGGACUCGCGGCUUAUCAGCUUGUUGGUGGGGUAGUGGCUUACCAAGGCUUUGACGGGUAGCCGGCCUGAGAGGGUGACCGGCCACAAUGGGACUGAGGUAACGGCCCGACUUCUACGGGAGGGAGGAGGGGGGAAUAUUGCAACAUGGGCGGAAGCCUGAUGCCGGCACGCCGCGUGCGGGAAGACGGCCUUCGGGUUGUAAACCGCCUUCGCCUGGGACGAAGGGGGAGUGAAGGUAAUGGGUAAAGGAGCCACGGCCUACUACGUU